This is a long non-coding RNA of Hyaena hyaena (striped hyena), 397 nucleotides long. RefSeq lists it as uncharacterized. The transcript is spliced from 3 exons. The record is from RefSeq and is a predicted model, not a curated record. Lineage: Eukaryota; Metazoa; Chordata; Mammalia; Carnivora; Hyaenidae.
CGCUCCGCUAGAGAAACACGGGGGCAGGGUGGUCCCACGCUCCUUGUCUCACACGCCUCCCACCUGUGUGCAGCAGAGGACCGGGCCUAGCUCUCACGCCGCCCUGCCGGGGACAGACGUGCGAGAUCGGGACCUGCGCCACAAGGCACAGCGGCUCCCUUCUGUAUUCUCGUCUUCAGGCUCUCUGAACUGGCAGCAGAAAAUGUAUCCAAAACCCUCUGUUUCCUGUGGGUCCAGCUGACACCGUGUGGACACGGGCCAUCAUGGAGCACGAACGGGGACCAUCAUGGAGCACGCAUACGGCUGGCUGACUGGAGGAAAAUACAUCAAUCUUUGGAUUGAAAAGAAGAAUGCCACUUUUGCCUUUUCUUCAUAAAUCUACAGGAGACAAAAAAAA